Non-coding RNA from Acanthosepion pharaonis, 102 nucleotides. Lineage: Eukaryota; Metazoa; Mollusca; Cephalopoda; Sepiida; Sepiidae. The record is from the annotation of a GenBank genome assembly.
AGAAUUGAAACACCGGUUCCCGUACAAUCAUCGAAGUUAAGCAACGUCGGGACCUGGUCACUACCUUGAUAGGUGACCAUUUGGGAAUACCAGGUUCUGUAA